CGCCAGACUCCUACGGGAGGCAGCAGUGGGGAAUAUUGCACAAUGGGGGAAACCCUGAUGCAGCGACGCCGCGUGAGCGAUGAAGUAUUUCGGUAUGUAAAGCUCUAUCAGCAGGGAAGAAGAUGACGGUACCUGACUAAGAAGCCCCGGCUAACUACGUGCCAGCAGCCGCGGUAAUACGUAGGGGGCAAGCGUUAUCCGGAUUUACUGGGUGUAAAGGGAGCGUAGACGGCGAUGCAAGCCAGAUGUGAAAGCCCGGGGCUCAACCCCGGGACUGCAUUUGGAACUGUGUGGCUGGAGUGUCGGAGAGGCAGGCGGAAUUCCUAGUGUAGCGGUGAAAUGCGUAGAUAUUAGGAGGAACACCAGUGGCGAAGGCGGCCUGCUGGACGAUGACUGACGUUGAGGCUCGAAAGCGUGGGGAGCAAACAGGAUGAGAUACCCUUGUAA
Molecule: ribosomal RNA, 447 nt
Filed under: uncultured bacterium
Lineage: Bacteria
Description: bacterial SSU rRNA
Rfam family: Bacterial small subunit ribosomal RNA
Source: RNAcentral